Molecule: ribosomal RNA, 740 nt
Filed under: uncultured bacterium
Lineage: Bacteria
Description: bacterial SSU rRNA
Rfam family: Bacterial small subunit ribosomal RNA
Source: RNAcentral
GGAGCUUGCUCUGUGGGAUCAGUGGCGAACGGGUGAGUAACACGUGAGCAACCUGCCCCUGACUCUGGGAUAAGCGCUGGAAACGGCGUCUAAUACUGGAUAUGUGGCGUGACCGCAUGGUCUGCGUCUGGAAAGAAUUUCGGUUGGGGAUGGGCUCGCGGCCUAUCAGCUUGUUGGUGAGGUAAUGGCUCACCAAGGCGUCGACGGGUAGCCGGCCUGAGAGGGUGACCGGCCACACUGGGACUGAGACACGGCCCAGACUCCUACGGGAGGCAGCAGUGGGGAAUAUUGCACAAUGGGCGCAAGCCUGAUGCAGCAACGCCGCGUGAGGGACGACGGCCUUCGGGUUGUAAACCUCUUUUAGCAGGGAAGAAGCGAAAGUGACGGUACCUGCAGAAAAAGCGCCGGCUAACUACGUGCCAGCAGCCGCGGUAAUACGUAGGGCGCAAGCGUUAUCCGGAAUUAUUGGGCGUAAAGAGCUCGUAGGCGGUUUGUCGCGUCUGCUGUGAAAUCCGGAGGCUCAACCUCCGGCCUGCAGUGGGUACGGGCAGACUAGAGUGCGGUAGGGGAGAUUGGAAUUCCUGGUGUAGCGGUGGAAUGCGCAGAUAUCAGGAGGAACACCGAUGGCGAAGGCAGAUCUCUGGGCCGUAACUGACGCUGAGGAGCGAAAGGGUGGGGAGCAAACAGGCUUAGAUACCCUGGUAGUCCACCCCGUAAACGUUGGGAACUAGUUGUGGGGU